AUUGAACGCUGGCGGCAGGCCUAACACAUGCAAGUCGAACGGUAACAGGAAGCAGCUUGCUGCUUCGCUGUCGCGUGGCGGACGGGUGAGUCAUGUCUGUGAAACUGCCUGAUGGAUGGGGUUAACUACUGGAAACGGUAGCUAUUACCGCAUAACUUCUCAAGCCCAAAGAGCAGUACCUUAGGGCCUCUUUCCAUCGGCUGUGACCCGAUGGGAUUGGCUAGUAGGUGGGGUAACGGCUUACCUAGUCGACGAGCCCUAGCUGGUCUGCGAGGUUGACCGGCAACACUGGAACUGAGACACGGUCCAGACUCCUACGGGAGGCAGCAGUAGGGAAUCGUGCGCAAUGGGCGAAAGCAUGACGGAGCAACGCCGCGUGAGUGAGGAAGGUCUUCGGAUCGUAAAACUCUGUUAUUAGGGAAGAAAAAAUGUGUAAGUAACUAUGCACGUCUUGACGGUACCUAAUCAGAAAGCCACGGCUAACUACGUG
RNAcentral lists this ribosomal RNA (490 nucleotides) under uncultured bacterium. RNAcentral describes it as "partial 16S ribosomal RNA". It matches the Rfam family "Bacterial small subunit ribosomal RNA", at positions 30 to 507 of the family's 1533-position model. The record is from RNAcentral.